Molecule: ribosomal RNA, 643 nt
Filed under: bacterium SVAL1.35
Lineage: Bacteria
Description: bacterial SSU rRNA
Rfam family: Bacterial small subunit ribosomal RNA
Source: RNAcentral
UGCAGUCGACGGUGAUCUCGGUGCUUGCACCGGGUGAUCAGUGGCGAACGGGUGAGUAACACGUGAGCAACCUACCCCUGACUCUGGGAUAACCCCGAGAAAUCGGAGCUAAUACCGGAUACGAGACGUACGGGCAUCUGUAACGUCUGGAAAGAAUUUUGGUCAGGGAUGGGCUCGCGGCCUAUCAGCUAGUUGGUGGGGUAACGGCCCACCAAGGCGACGACGGGUAGCCGGCCUGAGAGGGCGACCGGCCACACUGGGACUGAGACACGGCCCAGACUCCUACGGGAGGCAGCAGUGGGGAAUAUUGCACAAUGGGCGAAAGCCUGAUGCAGCGACGCCGCGUGGGGGAUGAAGGCCUUCGGGUUGUAAACCCCUUUCAGCAGGGAAGAAGCGAAAGUGACGGUACCUGCAGAAGAAGCGCCGGCUAACUACGUGCCAGCAGCCGCGGUAAUACGUAGGGCGCAAGCGUUGUCCGGAAUUAUUGGGCGUAAAGAGCUCGUAGGCGGUUUGUCGCGUCUGCUGUGAAAACCCGAGGCUCAACCUCGGGCCUGCAGUGGGUACGGGCAGACUAGAGUGCGGUAGGGGAGACUGGAAUUCCUGGUGUAGCGGUGGAAUGCGCAGAUAUCAGGAGGAACACCGA